This 127-nucleotide small RNA is filed under the name Marmota monax (woodchuck). Lineage: Eukaryota; Metazoa; Chordata; Mammalia; Rodentia; Sciuridae. The record is from RNAcentral.
GCUGGGCAGGAUGGCCCAUGCCUGUAAUCUCAGCGGCCCAGGAGGCUGAGGCAGGAGGAUCUGAAAUUGAAGGCCAGCCUCAGCAAUGUCGGGAGGCCCUGAGCAAGUCAGCGAGACCCUGUCUCUA